This 490-nucleotide ribosomal RNA is filed under the name uncultured bacterium. Its description in RNAcentral is "partial 16S ribosomal RNA". It matches the Rfam family "Bacterial small subunit ribosomal RNA", at positions 28 to 507 of the family's 1533-position model. The record is from RNAcentral.
GAUGAACGCUCGCGAUAGGCUUAACACAUGCAAGUCGAGGGGCAGCAUGGUCUUAGCUUGCUAAGACUGAUGGCGACCGGCGCACGUGUGCGUAACGCGUCUGCAACUUGCCUCACAGAGGGGGAUAACCCGUCGAAAGACGUACUAAUACCGCGUACACUCCAUCUUGGGCAUCCAAGGUAGAGGAAAUGAAAUUCGCUGUGAGAUAGGCAUGCCUCCCAUUAGCUAGUUGGUGAGGUAACGGCGGACCAAGGCGACGAUGGGUAGGGGAACUGAGGGGUGGAAGCCUGACAGGGGGACGGAGAACAGGGAGAGAGAAAUACGGGCGGCAGCAGUGAGGAAGAUUGGUGUAGGGGAGAGUGCCUGAACCAGCCAAGUCGCGUGAAGGAAGACUGCCUUAGGGAUUAUAAACUUCUUUUAUACGGGAACAUUAAGAGUCACGGGUGACUGACUGCAUGUACCGGAUGAAUAAGCACCGGCUAACUACGUG